GUUUCUGUCAUGCAGUCGACUUGGAAUUCGAUGCGCUAAUCGGCUUAAGGGCGUACAGCUCUGGCUCUGGCUCGGCUCUCUCGUUCCUCCAUUGGGCCUGCUAAAUGGAUUUGAGUGUUUUAAUUAGCAGAAGAAAAUGCUGCAAAUUGUCGUGGCAUUUUGUAUGGGGGGUGGGGAGAAUUACAUGCCAUUCCAGUUUAAUGGUCUUUAAAAUCCUAAAGAAACUCUUUUGAAACAUUUUUGUUUUUUUUUUUUUGGUUUGUCUGGCAAAUUCUCAACAUUUUCCCGACUUUGUUAAUGCAUUUUCCUUUUUGGCAUUGGCAAAAGGAAAUAAAUCAAGAAAAAAAAUGGUAGAAAAAUGCUGGCAAAAAGAGAGAAGAAAGAGAGAGAGAGAGAGCAGUGCCUGUGCCCGUGCCCGUGCCCUCUGCCAAAUAAAUCAUUUUUGGAUUUUUGUGAUUAUUAAAUAAAAUAUAUAUGCAAAAUAUUUAGAACCGUUUUAAUGUUAUCAACAGCUGCUUGGAG
RNAcentral lists this long non-coding RNA (522 nucleotides) under Drosophila guanche. Lineage: Eukaryota; Metazoa; Arthropoda; Insecta; Diptera; Drosophilidae. The record is from RNAcentral.